GGUUCGGUGGUGUAGUUGGUUCAUCACAACAGUCUAACACACUGUAGGUCCUCGGUUCGAGCCCGGGCCGAAUCA
This 75-nucleotide transfer RNA is filed under the name Pyricularia oryzae 70-15. RNAcentral describes it as "tRNA-Val (AAC) (tRNA-Val-AAC-4-1, tRNA-Val-AAC-4-2)". The record is from RNAcentral. Lineage: Eukaryota; Fungi; Ascomycota; Sordariomycetes; Magnaporthales; Pyriculariaceae. RNAcentral also lists the same sequence under 4 other names.